Molecule: long non-coding RNA, 1229 nt
Filed under: Helianthus annuus (common sunflower)
Lineage: Eukaryota; Viridiplantae; Streptophyta; Magnoliopsida; Asterales; Asteraceae
Source: RNAcentral
UUCUGUAGCUCCCCCAUCUCCAACAACCACACCUUCUCCCGCCCCUCUUUCUUCUGCACAUCGAAUACCAUCAACAAAUUAAGCAAAACUACCAUCAAGUUCCCACUUCCCAGGUUAGGUUCUGAUUUGUAAAGUGUGGAGGGUUCCGAGUUCGAUUUGUAAACAUAGGCAAUGAUGCGGCUUCUAUUGAAAACUAGGGUUCCGAUUUGAAAAUGAUUUUUCUAUCGGUGGAAAUAUCAAUUGAUUCAUCCUUCACAUCUCCAUCCAUCUGCGUUCUGUUUUGGAUUUCGAAGGGCUGCGUUCUGUUGAGUUAAUUGCACGUUUGAUCAAAUGGUUUGUACAUUCUUUCACAAGUUGUUGAGAUACCUAUCUUCGGAAGAUGAUAGCAAUGAUGACCUUGAUGAGGAUGUCAAAGAACAAUAAAAUCCAGUAUAUCCCUCGAAUCUAUUUCGACUGAGAUUUCGGAUGAGUCGUCCUUUAUUUCUCCGUAUUCUAGAUAGAUCUUCUGUUUUCACGGAACUUACACAAGGGCGUGCUCCACCAGUCAAUUACACAGUCAACGGCCACGACUAUAUUAUGGGGUAUUACCUUGCAGAUGGUAUUUAUCCUAAAAACGAUUUCAUCACCAAGAGGGAACAAGAAUAAACAUUUUGCAAAAACACAAGAAUCUGCAAGAAAAGAUGUCGAGCGAGCAUUUGGUGUACUUCAACAACGAUUUGCAACCAUUCGAGGUUCUCUGAUCUGAUCUAACUGGAACAGACUAUAGUGAAAGAGCAUCCUGAAUAUCCUGAUGGUCCUGUUAAAGGAUUAUGUAUUGGGAGUCCAUCUCAAAACUUGUAGCUCCUGGUGGCUUAGUGGUAAGCUUGACCAGCCCUUAUGUAUUGGCCAGCCCUUCAUGUUUGGAGGAUCCGUUGGGUCGCGUGGCACCACUGUCACAUUUGUGCGUAGCUAGACUGGUUAAUACCUAGCGUGCUGUUUGUGUUUUUGGGUGUGUUUGUUGUGUGGCUCGGUAAUUUGCUUUGUUACCUAAAUACUACUGUUCAACCCACAUUCUAAAGAGUGUUAACAGUCCAGUUUGGCUAAUUUUGACAAAAAUUCUCGGCUGAAUGCCUAAACCGCCAACUAUGGUUUUGGAAAACAACAAGACCUUGUAUGUAUAUCGGCAAAGAUGGUAUCUAUGUGUCAGCAAUUUUUUCUUGUUGGUUUAUGAUGAUAUAAUUAGUAGUUAA